AAACUUUCAACAACGGAUCUCUUGGUUCUGGCAUCGAUGAAGAACGCAGCGAAAUGCGAUAAGUAAUGUGAAUUGCAGAAUUCAGUGAAUCAUCGAAUCUUUGAACGCACAUUGCGCCCGCCAGUAUUCUGGCGGGCAUGCCUGUUCGAGCGUCAUUUCAACCCU
Molecule: ribosomal RNA, 165 nt
Filed under: Calonectria lauri
Lineage: Eukaryota; Fungi; Ascomycota; Sordariomycetes; Hypocreales; Nectriaceae
Description: 5.8S ribosomal RNA
Rfam family: 5.8S ribosomal RNA
About the family: 5.8S ribosomal RNA (5.8S rRNA) is a component of the large subunit of the eukaryotic ribosome. It is transcribed by RNA polymerase I as part of the 45S precursor that also contains 18S and 28S rRNA.
Source: RNAcentral